This 456-nucleotide ribosomal RNA is filed under the name Rahnella sp. 01WB04.4-85. RNAcentral describes it as "bacterial SSU rRNA". It matches the Rfam family "Bacterial small subunit ribosomal RNA", at positions 13 to 464 of the family's 1533-position model. The record is from RNAcentral. Lineage: Bacteria; Pseudomonadati; Pseudomonadota; Gammaproteobacteria; Enterobacterales; Yersiniaceae.
UUGAUCCUGGCUCAGAUUGAACGCUGGCGGCAGGCCUAACACAUGCAAGUCGAGCGGCAGCGGGAAGUAGCUUGCUACUUUGCCGGCGAGCGGCGGACGGGUGAGUAAUGUCUGGUGAAACUGCCUGAUGGAGGGGGAUAACUACUGGAAACGGUAGCUAAUACCGCAUGACCUCGCAAGAGCAAAGUGGGGGACCUUCGGGCCUCACGCCAUCGGAUGUGCCCAGAUGGGAUUAGCUAGUAGGUGAGGUAAUGGCUCACCUAGGCGACGAUCCCUAGCUGGUCUGAGAGGAUGACCAGCCACACUGGAACUGAGACACGGUCCAGACUCCUACGGGAGGCAGCAGUGGGGAAUAUUGCACAAUGGGCGCAAGCCUGAUGCAGCCAUGCCGCGUGUGUGAAGAAGGCCUUAGGGUUGUAAAGCACUUUCAGCGAGGAGGAAGGGUUCAGUGCUAAU